AGGAUAACCAAACUCUAUUUUAACGACGUUUCUUCUGAGUGGCAUAAGCAAAAUAAUCAAAACUUUUAACAACGGAUCUCUUGGUUCUGGCAUCGAUGAAGAACGCAGCGAAAUGCGAUAAGUAAUGUGAAUUGCAGAAUUCAGUGAAUCAUCGAAUCUUUGAACGCACAUUGCGCCCGCCAGCAUUCUGGCGGGCAUGCCUGUUCGAGCGUCAUUUCAACCCUCAAGCUCUGCUUGGUGUCGGGGCCCCACGGUCGACGUGGGCCCUCAAAGGUAGUGGCGGACCCUCCCGGAGCCUCCUUUGCGUAGUAACAUUUCGUCUCGCACUGGGAUCCGGAGGGACUCUUGCCGUAAAAGCCCCCAAUUCUUUCAAGGUUGACCUCGGAUCAGGUAGGAAUACCCGCUGAACUUAAGC
RNAcentral lists this ribosomal RNA (415 nucleotides) under Colletotrichum karsti. RNAcentral describes it as "eukaryotic LSU rRNA". The stretch from base 61 to 214 matches the Rfam family "5.8S ribosomal RNA". The record is from RNAcentral. Lineage: Eukaryota; Fungi; Ascomycota; Sordariomycetes; Glomerellales; Glomerellaceae.